This 828-nucleotide ribosomal RNA is filed under the name uncultured Planctomycetota bacterium. Its description in RNAcentral is "bacterial SSU rRNA". It matches the Rfam family "Bacterial small subunit ribosomal RNA", at positions 68 to 902 of the family's 1533-position model. Lineage: Bacteria; Pseudomonadati; Planctomycetota. The record is from RNAcentral.
UCCCAGCUUUGUAGCAAUACCGAGUUGGGGGAAGUGGCGAAAGGGGCAGUAAUGCGUGGGUAACCUACCUUGGGGACGUGGAUAGCCAUUCUAACGAGUGGGUAAUACGCGGCGAUUUGAUUGAGGGGCAUCUCUUGAUCAGGAAAUGAAUUUCGCCUCGAGAGGGGCUCACGUGAUAUUAGCUAGUUGGUGGGGUAACGGCCCACCAAGGCAAAGAUGUCUAGCGGGUGUGAGAGCACGACCCGCGCCACUGGCACUGAGACACUGGCCAGACACCUACGGGUGGCUGCAGUCGAGGAUCUUUGGCAAUGAGCGCAAGCUUGACCAAGCGACGCCGCGUGUGCGAUGAAGGCCUUCGGGUUGUAAAGCACUGUCGAGGGGGACGAAGCCGAAAGGUUGACCGAUCCCUGGAGGAAGCACGGGCUAAGUUCGUGCCAGCAGCCGCGGUAAGACGAACCGUGCGAACGUUGUUCGGAAUCACUGGGCUUAAAGGGCGCGUAGGCGGCUUGCCAAGUCAGUGGUGAAAUCCCGCAGCUUAACUGCGGAAGUGCCUUUGAUACUGGCGAGCUCGAGGGAGGUAGGGGUAUGUGGAACUUCUGGUGGAGCGGUGAAAUGCGUUGAUAUCAGAAGGAACGCCGGUGGCGAAAGCGACGUACUGGACCUCUUCUGACGCUGAGGCGCGAAAGCUAGGGGAGCAAACGGGAUUAGAUACCCCGGUAGUCCUAGCCCUAAACGAUGGGUACUAGGUUGUGGACUAACAUGGGUUCACAGCCGAAGCAAAAGUGUUAAGUACCCCGCCUGGGGAGUAUGGUCGCAAGGCUGAAACUC